This 404-nucleotide ribosomal RNA is filed under the name uncultured bacterium. RNAcentral's name for it is "partial 16S ribosomal RNA". It matches the Rfam family "Bacterial small subunit ribosomal RNA", at positions 28 to 526 of the family's 1533-position model. The record is from RNAcentral.
GACGAACGCUGGCGGCGUGCUUAACACAUGCAAGUCGAGCGGAGCGGCGAACGGGUGAGUAUCGCGUGAGUAACUGCCCCCCUCUCUGUGAUAACAGUUGGAAACGGCUGCUAAUACCGGAUAUUGGGGGAUGACUCUCUUCCUAUCAGCUUGUUGGUGGUGUAGUGGCCUACCAAGGCGACGACGGGUAGCCGGCCUGUGAGGGCGACCGGCCACAUGGGGCGGAGAUAGGGCCCAAACUCGUACGGGAGGCAGCAGUGGGGAAGAUUGCACAAUGGGGGAAACCCGGAUGCAGCAACGCGCGUGCGGGAUGACGGCCUUCGGGUUGGAAACCGCUUUCAGCCAUGACGCGGUAGUGGCAGAAGAAGCACCGGCUAACUACGUGCCAGCAGCCGAGGUAAUUC